Molecule: long non-coding RNA, 5767 nt
Filed under: Sus scrofa (pig)
Lineage: Eukaryota; Metazoa; Chordata; Mammalia; Artiodactyla; Suidae
Description: lncRNA (ENSSSCG00065022643.1)
Source: RNAcentral
UUUUUUUUUUUUUUUUUUUUUUGGUCUUUUCAGGGCCCCACUGGUGGCAUAUGGAGGUUUCCAGACUAGGGGUUGAAUCAGAGCUGUAGCCACUGGCCUACACCACAGCCACAGCAACCCGGGAUCCGAGCUGGGUCUGCAACUACACCACAGCCCAGGGCAAGGCCAGAUCCUUAACCCACUGAGCGAGGCCAGGGAUCGAAAGACCCACAACCUCAUGGUUCCUAGUCGGAUUCGUUAACCAUUGUGCCAUGACGGGAACGCCUCUCACCAACAUCUUUUGUCUUUAGCUGAAGAUGGUAUUUAGGUUAAUGAUUUGGGCCAUUUCUGGUGGUUACUCAGUUUUCCUAGGUAUCACUCAUGUAUACAGGAGGUAUAUAUGUUAUUAAACUUCUGUUUGUUUUUCUCCUGCUAAUCUGUUUUUUAUUAUAGGGAUGGAAGGCUCAGUUGUAAAACAAUCAAUAAAUAAGAAACCUCAAUUAAGUAGAGUUGGGAGAAAUGAAAAGGGAGAUUUCAUGCCUGUGAUGGUAGCAGAGCCCAACAGGAAGAAGACAGAUUCCUCUUCUUUCCUGGCAAGAACUCAGCCAAUGAAAAGCCAUGGGCUCUUUUUUCACUUUAGCCCCUCCAAAUUUCUUUUCCUAUGAUAAAAGCAGUUUCCUUCCCUUUCAGUGCAGGCACUUACUUGCACUUGGUUUGCCAUGUCUGUAGACACCCAAAUAAUUCUCAACUGACACAGAAUUAAACCCAUUUUUUGCUGGAGAAGUAUCUGGCAGUCUAGUUGUUUUGGAUCAACAAUUUGGUGGCCUGUACAGGGACUAGGGAUGGUCUGGCGCUGGUGGGCAAAACAGGUGAGGUACCCACAGUGGAGCCCAUUGUAGCUCAAGGUUUCUCUUGCUAACCCUGGAAUUUGAAGGUAUGUUAAUUUCUGAAUCUAAGCUCAGGUCCUCUUUGCAUUUGAAGCUCUCCAGGCUUUAUUCAGGAUCUAUUUAAAAGUUUCAUCUUUUGGGAAAGCUAUUGUUCCAUAUGUGAGUAUUCGUCUGGCACUUUGGUCUGAUUUUGAGAUCAGAUGGCUUCUCUGAAGCCCUGGCUAGCCUUCGAACCAUUCCUUCAGGAACAGGGCUUAUUUCUUCAAAAUGGUGCUGAGUUUUUCAGUCUUCAGCUGAUCUCUCUGGAAGGACUGUCCUCUGGAGACACCCUAAAAAAAAAGCCUUUGGCCUGGCUCCUCUGGGACCCAGCUAUUUGCUUAAGAUUGGCUGGAAUUGGCUUGCAAGCUGUUUGAAAUGAGCCAUUUUUGCUGUGAACUAUUUAAGCUGUUUGAAAAUUGUUCUUUACUUUAAAGGAAAAUCCUCUAAAAAAAACGGGAUCCCAGUUAUCUAAGUAUUUUGAGCCUGCCCCCUUUCCCACAGUAUCUCUGGCUGACUUUAUGUUUAAAUUCUUUAUGUUUAAAUUUAAAUUAAAUCAAAUUCUUUCUCAUGCUCAUUUCUAAUUAAAUGGACCAACCCCUACGAAAAGCUAUUUAGAAUAUCAAUGGCCAUUAUGGGGAACUUUUUAAAUUCCCAAACUGGUUUCCUUAAAACUGAAUUUGACUACAAUAGCUCAAAAAUUCCCCAAACUGAGUGAAAUGCUUGCUUUGAUUGGGAUUCCCAAUGUUAUCAGGAGUCUAAAAUUGCCUCUAUGCAAAGAUUAACUGAGGCAAGCAAAAGAUUAAAGAAAGAUAAAAUGGCUCCUGAAGCCUGAGGCUCCGUCUGUGGUACCACCUUGUCUCCCUCGACUCCCUGUAGCCAGACUGCCUCCCACACCAUCUUUCUCCUUCCCUUCUAUGCAGCCUAUGCCUUCACUAGAUCUUCAUUUCCUUCAUACUCCCUCUUUUCUAUUCCAUUGACAAACUCCUCCUUUUCUCUGAAACUCUCCCCACUUCCUUUUCCUCUAACUUGCCAGAACUUUAAAAUAAGCCUUCUGAGAAUCCAAAGGCAAACUCUUAAUUUCUUUUACUCCCUGGAUUAAAGCUGAACUGUGAGCCAUAGUCAAAGAUUUUCCCAAAGCAACUGAAGAUUGUUACAGGUUUGGUGAGGAAUUUAAUAUAAUUAUUCAAACCGGUUUCUCUGAUGUAUAUUAGCUAGUUCAUAAGCUUGUUGCUGAAGGGCAGGCCCAGCAUUGGAUGAAAACCCAUAACUGGGGAAGUCUUGAAAGGUCUCUAGAAUUACAAGCAGAAGACCAGCCCACUAACUUACAUGAUCAGGCUCCGGCAAGCACUAGGCAACUUCAUUGAACAAUUUCUAGGGUUUUUCCAAAGGAACAAAUUUCAGGCUUGCAUACAAAUAUCUAACAAAUCUGUUCAUGAUUUUUAUAAUCAACUUCAGAUUAUGAACAUUCUGGCCAUCAUGAAAAUGUUGAUUCCACCUAAGUAGCUUUUAAUGCUAUGCUUAUUAAUGAGCUGAACCAGGACAUCUCCUUUCUAGUAAAAAGCACCAGGAUGAAAUGGGAAACAAUGUCUGCUCUAGAUUUAAUUAAUCUGACAAACCAGCUCUCUCUCGUGAUCUAGAUGAGUCACUUCAAAGGAAGACUGCCAACAUUCUUAAUCUUCAAAUGCAGAAAAUAAAGGCUCCUAAAUGAAACCUAAAUCUUCCUAGUUUCUGAUAUCAUUGCAAAGAGUCAGAACAUUGGAAAAGAGAUUGUUAAACAAAUUUCAGCACUUUAGGCAACUUCCACUCUUUAAUCAGACGUUCCAAGACUCUUCCGAUUCUCAAUGACAGGGAUUCUUCUCAAUCCACCCUUUUAACUGGCUUGGAGAAACAUGUCUUCAUACUGGGGAUGAAUAUUUCCUAGUCCUAAGUGACACUGGAGCCACACUUUUCACACUCAACCCCACCACUUUGUAAUAGCCCCUGCCUUAGAGUACUAAAACAUUUCAAAUAGUGGGGAUCUCUAAUGUACCUCAAGAGGUUUAUGUUUCUGAAGCUAUCCCAUUUAUUUAAGCCAUUUGAGAGAUACCAGCCCUUUUCUCCUUACUUCUUCUGCUCCAUCCAUUUAUUAUGCUGGGACUUCUUAGAGAAGUAUCAUGCUGGAAUUUCUCCCAAAAGGGGGAUAUAAUUCUAGACAUUGACAAGAUCAAAGUAACUAACCAAGUGAAUUAAAUGACCUAUUUAUAUCUUUAAUAUGUUCCAUCUCUGAUGAUACUAUAGCAGAUUCUGGAAAAUCUAAUCACUUAUCCCUAUUGAAUCACCUACCAUCCCCCUUACAGGCAAAAUCUCCAUCGUGUUGUUGGCAAAAUUAACGGUGUACCUCCUAUCAAGUUUCAAAUAGACCUGUCAAAAUCUCUUCCCAGAAUUAAUCAAUACACUGUAAGUAAAGGAGCCAUUUAAGGCAUAAAGCCCAAGACAGAAGAAUACAAAGCCCAAAGUCUCAUUAUUCCUUAUACCAGCCCCUGCAACACUCACAUUUUAGCAAGAAAACCUAAUGGCUGAUGGUGGAGGUUUGUCUAGGACUUCUGAGUGAUAAACAAUAUUGUUAUUCCUUGACAUCUUUUACUCCUAACGAUCACACAUUACUAACAUUCAUUCCCAGUGGAAGUAAAUUCUUCACUAUAACUGACUUAUGAAGUGCACUAUUCAAUACUCCAGUUGAUGAAGCUAUCCAGCACACACUUGCCUUCCCUUAGAAAGUAAACAAUGCCUCAGGGCAUUAUAGAAAGUCCUUUUUCACAAAUACCCAAGAUUGGUCUAGAUGACAAAGUUCGCUAGGGUUUCUACUUUGUUGCAACAUGUGAAUAAUUUACAUUUUUUGCUUUCUGUCUCAAUAGAGCCUCCUCACAGGGAAAGGGCAUCUACUUCUAAAGCUUUUAGCCUUAAAAGUCAUAAGGUCACCAUAGAAAAAUUGUAAUUUUCCCAAACACAGGUUUGAUAUUUAGGACAUCCAAUAUCAGAAACAAGGGCUACAUCUAGAUCUGGAUAGACCUAAUCGUAUCCUAAGUUUCCCCAAGCCUAAAACUAAGGACCAACUGUGAAGUUUUUUUAGGCUAGUUGGUUAUUGUCAAAAUUGGAUUCCAAAUUUCUCUCUUGUGGCCAAAUCUUUAUAUGUUUUACUCAACAAUAAUAAUCUUGACCAAAUUGUAUGGGAAGAAUUAUACAACAUGGCCUUCAAGGCCAUAAAGGAGAUUUUGAUUAACCCACCUGCUCUUGGGCAUCCCAAUUUUCACUGUGUAUAUGAAAAAGAAGGAAAUUCUCUUGUGGUAUUCACCCCAAAAUAUGGGGACAACCAUCACCCAUAGGGUAUUAUAGCCAGCAACUGGACCCUAUGGCAGGAAUUACUGCUUGCCUUGGAACCAUCAUAGCCAGUGCUCUUUCAGUUAAGGGUCACUAAGAAAACUGUUGUGGAAAUAAAAUUUUAAAUAGCCCCUAUGUUCAGGAAUUAUUGAAAGCAAUACUUUUACUUGACACUCUAGCUAUUACAAAAUUCCAGGGCAUUCUCAACUUGACCCUCUGGGAGCUAGAAGAAAUUACUCUGUUGAUAUUUCUGUAAGGGAUGCCAUCCUUAAAGGGAUCAACAGCAAACUUCUGUCAUGGUCAAAAGGAAUAUUUCCUCAAAUCAUAAUUUGGAAAAACAGGCUAAAGAAGCCCAAAAAUCGAUCUCAGAAAAGGAAAAAAAAAAUUUGGAAAUUCAACAAUUGUUGGUUUGAUAAAAAGUGAAAGCUCUGAUUUAGACCAAAUAACAACCCAGUCACACCAGAGACUCUAAAGUUCCCAUUUUUCACCACUGUACAUGCAUUAUACCAUUGGUCUACAGACAAAAUGAUAGCAUUCAUUUAUCAAUAUUGGUGAGAAACAGUAACAAGAUCGCAGAGUGCCCACCUCACUCGUCUUUCUUGUCCAAAGUACAUUCCAGGGAAGCCUGAUCAUACUUUUCCUAGACAGUUUAAACUAAUGGACUAUUUGAGAUCUGGCAAGUGGAUUUCAAAUAACUUUUCCUCUGUUGGAUACAAAUAUGUUUUUGUCAUGGUGUGUGUUUUCACACUGGACUGAUGAGUUCCCUUGCAGACAGGCUACUAUCUCUUCUGAGGUUAGGGUUCUUUAGGGAAAGAUUCUCCCUCUCAAUCUUCAUAGUGAUUGAGGAACCCGUUUUACCAGUCAAGUGCUUCAACAAGUCUGUGUUUGGCUGAUUUUAAAACACUUUCACUGUGCUUUCCAUCUUCAAUCCUCUAGUGCAGACAAAUGCACUAAUGACAUUAUUAAGACUCUGUUGGUUUUUUCAGGAAUGUUCCCUCUAUACACACUUUGGCGAGGGUCUUGAUCAUGAAUGGAUGUUGGACUUUGUCAAAUGCUUUUUCUUCAUCUAUUGAGAUGAUCAUAUGAUUUUUGACUUUUCUUUUGUUAAUGUGGUAUAUGAAGUAGAUUGAUUUGUGUAUGUUGAACCAUCCUUGUGAACCUGGGAUGAACCCUACCUGGUCAUGAGUUUGGAUUUUUUUGAUAUGUUGUUGGAUUCGGUUGCCUAAGAUUUUGUUGAAAAUUUUUGCAUCUAUAUUCAUUAAUGAUAUUGGCUGAUAGCAAUACCUAUAAAAUUACCCAUGACAUUUUCCACAGAACUCGAACAAACAAUCCAAACAUUUAGAUGGAACAACAAAAGACCCAGAAUCGCCAAAGCAAUCCUGAGAAACAAAAACCAAGCAGGAGGCAUAACUCUCCCAGACUUCAAGAAAUGUUACAAAGCCACAGUCAUCAAAACAGUGUGGUACUGGUACCAAAACAGACAGACAGACCAAUGGAACAGAAUA